Molecule: ribosomal RNA, 385 nt
Filed under: uncultured bacterium
Lineage: Bacteria
Description: bacterial SSU rRNA
Rfam family: Bacterial small subunit ribosomal RNA
Source: RNAcentral
AAUCAACGCUGGCGGCGUGCCUCAGACAUGCAAGUCGAACGCGAAAGUUCCCUUCGGGGAAUAAGUAGAGUGGCGCACGGGUGAGUAACACGUAGGUAAUCUACCUUCGGGUGGGGAAUAACCCAGGGAAACUUGGGCUAACACCGCAUGAUGCAGCGGCACCACAUGGUGACAGUUGUUAAAGCGGGGGAUUUUCGGACCUCGCGCCUGAAGAGGAGCCUGCGGCGGAUUAGCUAGUGGUGAGGUAACGGCUCACCAAGGUCACGAUCCGUAGCCGGCCUGGAGGGGGGCGGUCGGCCACACUGACACUGACAUACGGGUCAGACUCCUACGGGAGCAGCAGUCGGGAAUUUUGGGCAAUGGGCGAAAGCCUGACCCAGCAACG